AGUCCAUGCCCCGAUGAAUUGAGGCUGUUCGGAGGGCAAAAGGGGGUGUAACUCAAUAUUAGUAACGGUAACAUUACGCUCCUUAAGAAUACAUCUUGGGCUAGAUUAGACCCACAUGCCUUGUAUUUCCUACCAGAGAAGGUUAGAGUUAGACACAAAUGCCUUGUAUUUCCUACCAGAGAAGGUUAGAGUUAGACCCACAUGCCUUGUAUUUCCUACCAGAGAAGGUUAGAGUUAGACACAAAUGCCUUGUAUUUCCUACUAGAGAAGGUUAGAGUUAGACACAAAUGCCUUGUAUUUCCUACCAGAGAAGGUUAGGGUUAUACCCACAUGCCUUGUAUUUCCUACCAGAGAAGGUUAGAGUUAGACCCACAUGCCUUGUAUUUCCUACCAGAGAAGGUUAGGCUUAGACCCAACUGCCUGUAACCCCUACAAGAGAAGGUUAGGGUUAGACCCAACUGCCUGUAACCCCUUCAAGAGAAGGUUAGGGUUAGACCCAACUGCCUGUAACCCCUUCAAGAGAAGGUUAGGGUUAGACCCAACUGCCUGUCACCCCUUCAAGAGAAGGUUAGGGUUAGACCCAACUGCCUGUAACCCCUUCAAGAGAAGGUUAGGGUUAGACCCAACUGCCUGUAACCCCUUCAAGAGAAGGUUAGGGUUAGACCCAACUGCCUGUAACCCCUUCAAGAGAAGGUUAGGGUUAGACCCAACUGCCUGUAACCCCUUCAAGAGAAGGUUAGGGUUAGACCCAACUGCCUGUAACCCCUUCAAGAGAAGGUUAGGGUUAGACCCAACUGCCUGUAACCCCUUCAAGAGAAGGUUAGGGUUAGACCCAACUGCCUGUCACCCCUUCAAGAGAAGGUUAGGGUUAGACCCAACUGCCUGUAACCCCUUCAAGAGAAGGUUAGGGUUAGACCCAACUGCCUGUAACCCCUUCAAGAGAAGGUUAGGGUUAGACCCAACUGCCUGUAACCCCUUCAAGAGAAGGUUAGGGUUAGACCCAACUGCCUGUCACCCCUUCAAGAGAAGGAGACAUACUCAAAGUAGGCAAUUUUUCAGUUUACCUUCAUUUUCCACAUGACGGACUCCGAAUGCAAGUUUAAAUAAAAUGGUGUAUGGGGAUUCCAUUCCAGUCUGAUGGGAGCUCGCUUUGCUGACAGCUUAUCAUAUUUCAGCCUUGAAAUUCUUAACGCAGAAGCCAUGAGUGAUGCAUACGCUUUUUAGUUAUUUUUAUCUUCAUAUGCAUUGCUUCUCUGAAACAAGAUUUGGAGGGUUGCAGUAGGGCCUUUUACCCAGGAAAAAGCUAUACUGUGAGAGAGCCCAUCUCUCCCUAAAAAUAAACAAGCCUCAAUUUAGAUGCAAAAAAAAGGGAAACAAAACAAGCAUAAAUUCAAGCCAAUUUAUAGUUGAGCGCCAUCACUAAAGGCAAUGAGGUAAAUUGCUUCUGGCAGAUCAUUUAAAGUACUACUCCUACUACUGAGUCUCUUUGUCAAUAUGUUUUGUUGCUAGUUAUUUUACUUGUCAUAACAUAGAAGUGGACAGCAGAGGAGAGAUAAUCUCGAUAAGGGACUAAACAUCAAGGGACUGGCAGGAAUAUUGAAAACAAUUUAGAUCGUUGUGAGUUAGAAUGAAACAGUGAGUUAGAAUGAAACAGUGAGUUAGAAUGAAACAGUGAGUUAGAAUGAAACAGUGCGUUAGAAUGAAACAGUGAGUUAGAAUGAAACAGUGAG
This is a long non-coding RNA of Oncorhynchus keta (chum salmon), 1730 nucleotides long. RefSeq lists it as uncharacterized. The record is from RefSeq and is a predicted model, not a curated record. NCBI's taxonomy places the organism in Eukaryota, Metazoa, Chordata, Actinopteri, Salmoniformes, Salmonidae. The transcript has 3 exons.